This 400-nucleotide ribosomal RNA is filed under the name uncultured eukaryote. RNAcentral's name for it is "bacterial SSU rRNA". It matches the Rfam family "Eukaryotic small subunit ribosomal RNA", at positions 407 to 808 of the family's 1831-position model. The record is from RNAcentral.
CUACCACUUCCAAGGAAGGCAGCAGGCGCGCAACUUACCCUAAUCUCGAUUCGAGGAGGUAGUGACAAGAAAUACCGAUGCGGGACCCUACGGGUGCCGCGUUCGGAAUGAGUACGAUUCGAACCACCUAACGAGGAACGAUCGGAGGGCAAGUCUGGUGCCAGCAGCCGCGGUAAUUCCAGCUCCAAUAGCGUACGUUAAAGUUGCUGCAGUUAAAAAGCUCGUAGUUGAACGUUCGGGUUCCGCGGGACGGGGCCGCCCCGCGAGGGACGGCGCCGCCCCGGGGCUCGUGAUAUCUCAUCUCGCCGCCCGUCGCGAGGCGGACGGAGGGAUGGAUGAGGUUACCUGGAAAAAAUCGGGGCGAUCUAGGCGGGCGAACCUCGCCAACGAACGAUCGGAC